AAUGUAUGACGUUAUUGACUUUUUGUCCAACGUUUGACCAUUCGUCUUAUUCAAAAAAUUUAUGUAAUUAUUAUUUAUUUUAUUGUGACUUGAUUCAUCAUCAAAUAUUCUUCAAGCAUGAUAUAAAUAUUUCCAUAUUUACGCAAAAUUUUGAAAUAAAACGAAUGUUCAAACGUUGAUCGAAAAAUCAACGGCGUCAUACAUU
RNAcentral lists this microRNA precursor (205 nucleotides) under Oryza sativa Japonica Group (Japanese rice). RNAcentral's name for it is "MIR812 microRNA precursor family". It matches the Rfam family "MIR812 microRNA precursor family". The record is from Rfam by way of RNAcentral. Lineage: Eukaryota; Viridiplantae; Streptophyta; Magnoliopsida; Poales; Poaceae.